GACGAACGCUGGCGGCGUGCUUAACACAUGCAAGUCGAACGGAAAGGCCCUGCUUUUGUGGGGUGCUCGAGUGGCGAACGGGUGAGUAACACGUGAGUAACCUGCCCUUGACUUUGGGAUAACUUCAGGAAACUGGGGCUAAUACCGGAUAGGAGCUCCUGCUGCAUGGUGGGGGUUGGAAAGUUUCGGCGGUUGGGGAUGGACUCGCGGCUUAUCAGCUUGUUGGUGGGGUAGUGGCUUACCAAGGCUUUGACGGGUAGCCGGCCUGAGAGGGUGACCGGCCACAUGGGGACUGAGGUACGGCCCAGAAUCCUACGGGAGGCAGCAGUGGGGAGUAUUGCACAAUGGGCGGAAGCCUGAUGCAGCAACGCCGGGUGCGGGAUGACGGCCUUCGGGUUGUAAACCGCUUUCGCCUGUGACGAGGCGUGAGUGACGGUAAUGGGUAAAGAAGCACCGGCUAACUACGUG
RNAcentral lists this ribosomal RNA (468 nucleotides) under uncultured bacterium. RNAcentral describes it as "partial 16S ribosomal RNA". It matches the Rfam family "Bacterial small subunit ribosomal RNA", at positions 28 to 507 of the family's 1533-position model. The record is from RNAcentral.